RNAcentral lists this ribosomal RNA (459 nucleotides) under uncultured bacterium. RNAcentral describes it as "partial 16S ribosomal RNA". It matches the Rfam family "Bacterial small subunit ribosomal RNA", at positions 338 to 795 of the family's 1533-position model. The record is from RNAcentral.
CCUACGUGUGGCAGCAGUGAGGAAUAUUGGUCAAUGGCCGGAAGGCUGAACCAGCCAAGCCGCGUGAGGGAGGAAGGCGCAGAGCGUCGUAGACCUCUUUUGCCGGGGGACAAAAGGCCGGACUCGUCCGGUCCUGAGGGUACCCGGAGAAAAAGCAUCGGCUAACUCCGUGCCAGCAGCCGCGGUAAUACGGAGGAUGCGAGCGUUAUCCGGAUUCAUUGGGUUUAAAGGGUGCGCAGGCGGGCCUUUAAGCCGGCGGUGAAAUCGCGGGGCUCAACCCCGCCGAGCCGGCGGAACUGGGGGCCGUGAGUGCGGCGGAGGCAUGCGGAAUGCGCGGUGUAGCGGUGAAAUGCAUAGAUAUGAGGAGGAACACCAGUGGUGAAGGCGGAUUGCUAGACUGUAACUGACACUGAGGCACGAAAGCGUGGGGAGCAAACAGGAUUAGAUACCCCAGUAGUC